GCAGCCUCCCCUUUCUCUCUCCCUACUUCUUGUAUUUUAGUUCGUUUGCUGCCAAUUUAGAUCGACCUAAUCAUCGUUUUUUUCUCAUAUGAUUGGAUUUCUGUGCUUGGUGGAGCAGGUAGAACACAAACAGGCACACACGGGAGAAGGUGCUCAUGGUACUCGUUGCCGAUGUCAAGGCCUGGUUUACAUGUGUCUCCAGGAUGCCGAUUCAUGGCGAGGCUAAUCCUAGGUGCGGUUGUUGCUCUCGCAGGCUUAAUUCACAUGUGUGUCUAGAAUUUUAGAUCAUGAUGAGGUUGCCAAUCCCUAUUGCUUCCGGUCAUUAGCGGAGGCUGUUGUUUGGGAGAUGGUGUAGUACAUGGUACUAGGUCUACUCACUCCCAGAACCAGAGCAAGAUAGGAAGCAACAUUUUCAUGCCCCAAUCCAGAAUAUGCAGAGAAGAUGAUCGCUGCAAUUUAUGAAGUACGGGUUGAUGGAAAUUUGAUUGGUGGGACGGUCACAUGUGUAUUUCCAGAAAUGUUUCUCAUAAUGACUUUGAAUUUCAGGUAUAAUUUAUAGGCGUCACACUCCUUUUGAUAUAAUCUGUAUAUUUGGAACACCAGGUAAGCAUAUCAGGUAAAUGAAAAGGGGUGGCCAAUACUGAAUGAGGGUAACGCUACUUGCAGAGUAAUUACAGAAUGAACUUAGUCAGCAUUUGCCUUUGUUGAUCUACUCGAAUUACUGUAUUUGUUUUGUACCUUUAAACUCUCCUUAUAACGACUUGGUUUAUUUUCCAUUUGUGAAAUAAUGGUUUGUAGACUUAAGACAGCCCAUUGGUAUAAUCACCACAUUUACUUUGGUUGGAGUUAUA
This is a long non-coding RNA of Lolium rigidum, 851 nucleotides long. RefSeq lists it as uncharacterized. The record is from RefSeq and is a predicted model, not a curated record. The transcript is spliced from 5 exons. NCBI's taxonomy places the organism in Eukaryota, Viridiplantae, Streptophyta, Magnoliopsida, Poales, Poaceae.